RNAcentral lists this ribosomal RNA (433 nucleotides) under uncultured bacterium. RNAcentral describes it as "partial 16S ribosomal RNA". It matches the Rfam family "Bacterial small subunit ribosomal RNA", at positions 29 to 507 of the family's 1533-position model. The record is from RNAcentral.
AACGAACGCUGGCGGCAGGCUUAACACAUGCAAGUCGAACGGAUCCUUCGGGAUUAGUGGCAGACGGGUGAGUAACGCGUGGGAACGUACCCUUUUCUACGGAAUAACUCAGGGAAACUUGAGCUAAUACCGAAUGUGCCCUACGGGGGAAAGAUUUAUCGGCCAAGGAUCGGCCCGCGUUGAAUUAGCUAGUUGGUGGGGUAAUGGCCUACCAAGGCGACGAUCCAUAGCUGGUCUGAGAGGAUGAUCAGCCACACUGGGACUGAGACACGGCCCAGACUCCUACGGGAGGCAGCAGUGGGGAAUAUUGGACAAUGGGCGCAAGCCUGAUCCAGCCAUGCCGGGUGAGUGAUGAAGGUCUUAGGAUUGUAAAGCUCUUUUACCGGUGAAGAUAAUGACGGUAGCCGGAGAAGAAGCCCCGGCUAACUUCGUG